This 582-nucleotide ribosomal RNA is filed under the name Meloidogyne incognita (southern root-knot nematode). RNAcentral's name for it is "eukaryotic LSU rRNA". The stretch from base 245 to 398 matches the Rfam family "5.8S ribosomal RNA". The record is from RNAcentral. Lineage: Eukaryota; Metazoa; Nematoda; Chromadorea; Rhabditida; Meloidogynidae.
CGUAGGUGAACCUGCGGAAGGAUCAUUACUUUAUGUGAUGUUCAAAUUUAAAUUCGCAAUGAAAUGAUCGUUGUGAAACGGCUGUCGCUGGUGUCUAAGUGUUGCUGAUACGGUUGUGAACGUCCGUGGCUGUAUAUGUGGUGACAUGUUAGGACUCUAAUGAGUUUAAGACCUAAUGAGCCUCUUAAGUGAGGCCGCCAGCAACCUUUUUUUUCUCUACAUUUUAAAAAAAAAACUAAAAUUCUACCCUUAUCGGUGGAUCACUAGGCUCGUGGAUCGAUGAAGAACGCAGCAAACUGCGAUAAUUAUUGCGAACUGCAGAAGUAUUGAGCACAAAAGUUUUGAACGCAAAUGGCCGCAUUGAGGUCAAACUCUUUGCAACGUCUGGUUCAGGGUCAUUUUCUCUUAUAGCGGAAGCUUUAAUUUCUAUAAUGAUGUUGUUGCUUUAUAUUUUAAAAGGAUUUUUGUUUAUUCAUGUAUUAAAUCUAACUGUGAAAAUCAAACAAUUUUGACCUGAACUCAGUCGAGAGCACCCGCUGAACUUAAGCAUAUCAGUAAGCGGAGGAAAAGAAACUAACCAGG